RNAcentral lists this long non-coding RNA (1114 nucleotides) under Junco hyemalis (dark-eyed junco). RNAcentral describes it as "lncRNA (ENSJHYG00000001475.1)". Lineage: Eukaryota; Metazoa; Chordata; Aves; Passeriformes; Passerellidae. The record is from RNAcentral.
AAGAUUCAGAUUUGUAUAUGUGGUGUUUUGGUUUUUUCUAGUCAUAAUAAACUUCUGAGGAAGAAAACCAAGUUUUCAGGAGUAUUCUAGGAACGGCAGCAGAAAUCAGAAGAGAUCAUGGCUUCCAGGUUAAAGACCUUUGCUCAACUUUCUGCUGCUCUGAGUUAAUCUUUCUCCACCCAGCCAUCGGAGUGACCAGCACAGGAAUUUCCCAAUACUUUGGCAUUUCAUUUCAGAGAACUGGACCCCAACCAGUCUGCAGCAGUGCUGGAUGUUGCAAUGCAGUUCCAGACUUUCCCCAGGCUCCCUGUGGAGUAACCAGUGCUUCACCUACAGUUGCAGAGACCCAUUUUGAGGGAAACUGGAUUUUUUUUUCCCCCAGAAAUACAACUCACAGACACCAAAUAAGUGAUGUUUCUGCUGUGAUUAAAAGUAGCACUUUCUAGGUUUUUUUCUGCUUGUUUUGAACAACAUGUGGCAUUUUGGUUUUGGGUUGGUUGCUUUCUUUUUAAUAUGAGGUCUUCCUGACCUAAUACUGUCCUCUUUUAUUCUGAUUAAGCAUAUUGUCAUAUAUCUUCUGUAGACUUCAAAUGCACAUCUGUACUUUCAGAGCAGGUCUGAGUAGCAUAAGGAGUUUGCACACAGGAUGCUGAUAUAAUUUUACAGGUCAUUUUUAGAUACCUACUUUCCCCAAAACAUGUUCUACAACUAGGGCAGACUCUGAACUAGUAGUAGUAUUUUUGUCAUCUUUAUACUGUGUGCAUGUACCAGUCCCAAACAAGGAAUUACUAUUUACAUAACAGGACUGGGAUUAGGAAUCAGCAUUUUAGGAAACCAUUCUUGCCAUGACAGAUUUGCAGUCCAAGACAGAUUUAAGCAAAAAAGAUGUGUCAUCAGCUGGUAACCACGAGGGUGUAAGGAGGAGAGGGCAAGACACAGAAUGUUUUCCAAAUUUGAUUUCAUGGUGGUUUUCUGCUGCUGGACGGAACAUCCAGCCAAAAUCAGUAAAAUUACCUGGUUCCUCACUUUUGUGAAGUAUUUAUACUGAACAUUGCUUCCUAAACCCCCAAACUAUUACUUCAGACUUCCAAAACGUUCUAAUAGAACAGAAGUG